AUUCCCGUUGAUCCUGCGGGAGGUUGCUGCUAUUAGGGUUCGAUUAAGCCAUGCAAGUCUUUCCGCAAGGAAGGCAGACUGCUCAGUAACACGUCGAUAAUCUGCCCUUAGGUCCGGAAUAACCUCGGGAAACUGAGGAUAAUACCGGAUAGGGAAACCUAACUGGAAGGUGGGUUUCUUUAAAAGUAAUGCCUAAGGAUGAGUCGGCGGCGGAUUAGGUUGUUGGCGAGGUAAUGGCUCACCAAGCCGAAGAUCCGUAGGGGCCUUGAGAGAGGUAGCCCCGAGA
This 286-nucleotide ribosomal RNA is filed under the name Candidatus Woesearchaeota archaeon. RNAcentral's name for it is "partial 16S ribosomal RNA". It matches the Rfam family "Archaeal small subunit ribosomal RNA", at positions 1 to 296 of the family's 1478-position model. The record is from RNAcentral. Lineage: Archaea; Nanobdellati; Candidatus Woesearchaeota.